GAUUUCAGUCUGUAAGCAGAAAUAAAUUGAGAGCAUUAAUAAAAUAACCAAGUAAACAGAAAUAAUAAAGCCAACAGAGAAACGAAUCGGAUCCAAGUUCAAAGCUUUUGGGGCACAGUUUAAAAAGUAAAAAAAAAAGUAAAGUGCGAAAUGACUCAAAUGGGCUUCCUUAUGGUGGUGCUGUGUUUUGCACUCCUCGCUUUCUGUUCCGGACAAGGUAUCACAGAAAAUCCUUAUGACCGAAAUUGUAACAAAAAUAUAUAUUGUUUGUUUGAAGAUUCUUAAAAAAACAUCCCGUGCAGCCAUCCUAUAGAAGGUCGACAGAAGCCAGCAUGGAUGCCCUGCACACCUUAACUCAUCUUUUAUUUAGCGUUAUUGAUAGUUUUAACUUUGGUUAGUUUUAAUAAUUCGUGGCAGAUAAAUUGGGUACUAUGAAUUUCCAAAUUAUUUAAGCUUUUUGUUUUUUUUUUUUAAUGUCACAGAGCACUAGUUUGUUUUGGGAGUACUAUAUUGAAAUAUAAACCAUGCAAUAAAUAAAAUGACUAUGAUUAAAACCCGUUUUUUUUGGUUUGACUAGGAACUUAAAAG
This is a long non-coding RNA of Drosophila gunungcola (fruit fly), 588 nucleotides long. RefSeq lists it as uncharacterized. The transcript is spliced from 3 exons. The record is from RefSeq and is a predicted model, not a curated record. NCBI's taxonomy places the organism in Eukaryota, Metazoa, Arthropoda, Insecta, Diptera, Drosophilidae.